CCUACGGGAGGCAGCAGUGAGGAAUAUUGGUCAAUGGACGAGAGUCUGAACCAGCCAAGUCGCGUGAAGGAUGACUGCCCUACGGGUUGUAAACUUCUUUUAUAUGGGAAUAAAAUGCUCCACGUGUGGGAUUUUGUAUGUACCAUAUGAAUAAGGAUCGGCUAACUCCGUGCCAGCAGCCGCGGUAAUACGGAGGAUCCGAGCGUUAUCCGGAUUUAUUGGGUUUAAAGGGUGCGUAGGUGGAUUGUUAAGUCAGGUGGGAAAGUAUGCGGCUCAACCGUGAGUUUGCAGUUGAAACUGGCAGUCUUGAGUGCAGGAGAGGUGAGCGGAAUUCGUGGUGUAGCGGUGAAAUGCAUAGAUAUCACGAAGAACUCCGAUUGCGAAGGCAGCUCACUGGACUGCAACUGACGCUGAGGCACGAAAGUGUGGGUAUCGAACAGGAUUAGAUACCCGGGUAGUC
RNAcentral lists this ribosomal RNA (460 nucleotides) under uncultured bacterium. Its description in RNAcentral is "partial 16S ribosomal RNA". It matches the Rfam family "Bacterial small subunit ribosomal RNA", at positions 338 to 795 of the family's 1533-position model. The record is from RNAcentral.